GCUCAGUUGGUUGAAAGUUCAACUCUUGAUUUUAGCUCAAGUUGUGAUCUUGGGGUUGUGAGAUCAAGCCCCGCAUUCAGCA
Molecule: transfer RNA, 82 nt
Filed under: Canis lupus familiaris (dog)
Lineage: Eukaryota; Metazoa; Chordata; Mammalia; Carnivora; Canidae
Also listed under: 1 other name
Rfam family: tRNA
About the family: Transfer RNA (tRNA) molecules are approximately 80 nucleotides in length.
Source: Rfam by way of RNAcentral